Pseudopipra pipra is the source of this 12644-nucleotide long non-coding RNA. RefSeq lists it as uncharacterized. Lineage: Eukaryota; Metazoa; Chordata; Aves; Passeriformes; Pipridae. The record is from RefSeq and is a predicted model, not a curated record. The transcript is spliced from 2 exons.
AAGAAGCCCUGGGGCUGGGGCUGGGCUGGGCUGGGCUGGGCUGGGCUCGCUCGCCGGGCGCGCGGCAGGGCCGCCAUUUUAAGGAUGCAGCGAGGGGCGAAGCUCUCGCUCCUUACAUGGCGGCUGCUCGGCUGCGGGGCCGGCCAAUGGGGCGGGCGGUGCCAAGUCACGUGAGGUGCCACGACGGCACCGACAGCCAUUUCCUCGUUUCUGGAAAACUUCGGUGCCUCCGCCGAGCGCUUCGCCGUGUUUUCGGUGCCAAACGCUCUCUGCCGCAUGUGUGCCUCGCAGGCUGGCAUUUGUCCAUAAAGUUAUUUUAGUAGGUAAAAAGUCUCGGAGCGCUGGAGCUCUGUGCGUUCUGUAUGUAAAAUGGAUUUCCCUUGCUGGCCCCGGGCCAGGAGCGCGGAGCACGCGCUGGGCGAGGGGAGCGCGUCUCUGCAGAGGAACUGGUGGACUGACACACUCUAAUUUUUUGGCUCCUGACCAGACAAGCUAGAUGGAUGCCAAAAUUCAACAAAAUAACACAUUAUUGUGUAAUAGGAACAGCACUCAAAGUGAGCAAGAGCUCACAGGAACUGAAUACCAGCACUUUUUCCCCCUUUCUUUCUUUUUUUUUCCUUUCCUUUCUUUCCCCGUUGUACUGCAGAAGCUCAGAACUGGCACUUUUAAUAUACGACUUCAAUGGAACAAGGAAUAAAUAUAACCACAAUGUAAAGAAUGAGGAAUAAUGUACAAUCGGGAAGACGAAGGGGAGGAGAGAGCGAGGGAGGGAGCGGGAGAGCGAGACGGAGGGAGUUAAAAUUACUUUUGUGAGACUUCCUUCAAACAUGCUCCAUAGUGCUCAGGGCUGGUUUAACCCUGUCUUCCCUGCAGCAGAUCCCCAACAUGCCUCAUGCAUCCCUCUUUCUCCUUCAGUUCCAAUCCCCUCAAUAAACAAAUGCACACAUGUUAAGGGCAGCACCCAGCACUGCAUGCCAUUGAACCAGGGCUGUCAGAGGGUUUGGAAUCAGUGCAAAAAAAGUCUUCCUAGAAAAAAACUUUUUUUUUUCUGAUUUACCAUCUCUGAAAGAAGGAGAACAUGCAUGAAAUACUGUUUUUCCUACUCAAAUAACCAGCAUUACCUGGGUUUGUCAUUACUGUUCUCAUGCUGUGGUAGCACCUCCUAGCACCAACCCAACUUCACGGUAAUGAAGUAAUUAAGCUUCCCUGAGAAGCUGUGGCAUUCCAUACGUUCAUCUGCAAAAUGCAGGUGUCUCUGGGGCUGCACAUGGCAACUCUUGGAAAGUGCAAAGCAACACAAUAGGAAGUGAAAACUAACACAGCCUAUGGAAACUGCGAGGGGUUGUUGGGUCAGCAGCAUGUAAUUACAAGAGCUGGAAGAUGGCCAGAGUGAGGAUGGCCAUCGUGUCGGGGAAAGCCAUGUGCCCACACAGAUUGGGAACUUUUUGGUUUCAGAGCAGUCUGUUAACAUAGAAUUCAUGGAAUCCUAGAAUGGUUUGAAUUGGAAGGGACCUUAAGGAUCAUCUAGUUCCAACCCCCUGCCAUGGGUAGGGAUGCCACUCACUAGACUAGGUUUCCUGGUCCUGCUGGUGAGGAGACCAGGGAGGAAGAGCAUUCCUGGAGGGACUGUGGAGGAUGGGAGGGCAGAGUGUGCUCCCAAGGCUUGGCUCCCAAUCCCAGCCAGGCAGUGAUGGACGAACUUGCAAAGAGUGGGAAACAACCUUCCUCAGCCCUGAGACUGCAUCAUCCCAGAGCACAAAAUAAUGGCCAUAACCUUUUCUACCCUCAUUUUUUUCCUACCCUCUACAUCUCAUGGAGAUUUUCCCCCAAAUGCAUCAAAAUCCAUUGGAGCAUAGGCCGAUUACUGUCCUCUUAGUGCUCCUGUUGGAUUUAUCCUUCUUAUCAACCCUGUAUAUUCCUAAAACAGAUACUGUGGUAGAUUAUCACUAAGAUCUAAACCAGAGAGUUUGCUGGGAUUGCAUCUUGAAAUCUGUCUAAAGAGGGCAAAUACACAGUUCUCGUGCUGUAUCUCAGGUUUGAUCUGCCAAAGAGGAAUAAAGAGCCUGUGUCUCCUUGUUACUUUAUUAAAAAAGCCUACCAUAAGGAUUUGAGGAAUUUUGAGUACUAUGGUUGCUAGAUUUUAACAUGAGGGAUGCAAGUAACCACCAAAGGUGCUGUUUUGGGUUGAAUCCCAAUUGUGCUGUGCACCACUCCUUCCUAUUGUCCCUGCUCUGAAUUGCUUCCGGGCAAGAAUAAACCAAGGUAAACAAGCUGGUUUGGUGUGUUUGUGGCCUUGGGGAAAACAAACCAUAUUAAUGAUAUGUUAUAUUAUUUAAUUAGAUUUUUUUAAUGCCUUAUCAAGUACAGAAUAGAAAAUGCAAAAUAAAUAGUAAAUAAAAAAUAAUGAUAUGGGAGUUGGAGUCAUCCUGGUGUGCAAUAACAUUAAGUGUGGCUGUAAUUAUGGUUUGGACUUUCCAUGGUAAAAGCAAAUUUUUUUUGCCUCAUAACCGGUUUUAUAUCCUUCUGGAACAAAGUAAAAAAGUCUUCUGGCAGUUUUUUAAUUGAGGUUUUGUAGCUUUGAUGAUCCGAUGCUAUAAAGAAGUCAACCCUUCUGCCAGUUUUUUAAGGCCAGAUAAGGGUUUGCCAUCAUGUUCAAGGCGUUUUUCUCUGGCUACAUGUAUCCACAUGCUCCUUUCUCUUUCCUCUUUGUCUCUGGGACAGGGAAUAGGAGACCUUCAGAGCAAAUAUAGGAUUCAGGGACGUAAAAUAAGUUGUUCUGCCCUUUGUAUAUUUGAAUUUUUUCUCUCUGUAGAGCUUGCUGAAUAUACCUGUGGUAUUAUAAAAGUGAACCGAAGUGCUAAUAGGACAUUUCUGGGGAUGGGUUUAUGCAGAUGAGAGUUAUGAUGGAACCACAAAUACCAGCAGCACUUCAGAGGCUCUGCUGCUGCCCCACCAUUGGCUUUUCAGAGCAAACCCUUUCCCCAGCUGGCAGGGAAAUACCUGGGGCUCUGCUCUGAAGCUGAGGCUUCACAGCCAGGAGCGUGUUAGAAGUUAAUACAAAUUACAUGAGCUUUACACCCAGAGCCCUGACUUGCCUUGGGUUACCAUUUUGGCACAAAGGGUUCAGGGAACAUCCAGCUCUGCAAUGGAUCCGCUCUGUCCGGUGUCCAGCUUUGCAGCACAUCCGUCUCAUGGUAUGCUCCAGGAAAGAAUUGGCUUUUGGUGCCUUAAAGAAAUAAGAAAGCUAUUAGAAACACCCAAACAAACAAACUCCCAAACCAGCAAAAAAGCAAUAAAUAAGGGGUAAAAACCUUAUAGGGGAACACAGGGCUGUUGGUGGUUUGCCCUGUCUCUGAGUAACAUCAGGCAAUAAUGUGGCACAGUUAAAGCUGUUACACAGUGUGGAUGUCAUGGGACUGUCAUUGAACCAGUGUAAACCCAUUGUCUUCAGAGCUUAGUUUUCAUGGAUGUGAUGGGGAAAUCUUGUAUUACUUCUCUCCUGUUUGUUUUUUUUUCAAUGUGUUAAUAUGUUCACUUAAAUAAAAAACACUUUAAGAAUUGAGGAAAAAAAAUAGCCCAGGUGCAGUAACAAUAGCUGAUCCCAAACAAACAGCAAUUCACUCUUGCCACUCUGCAAAGAUAAAGCAUGUCAUGUACAUUAGCAAAAGAUAACUGACAUUAACACAGUAGGCAAGGUGAUUACGUACCACACUAUUGACUCUGCGCACUCAUUACUGCUAUUUGGUGGGUUGCUUAAGUGGGUACCUGAAGGUUAAGUAAUAACUGUAGCAGGAAUGAGAGGGAAGCAGAAAGAAAGAGAGAAAGGGAAAAGAAGAGAGAAAACAUUGACACAAGGUUAAAAUGGAGGAAAGUGGAUAAGUGGGGGUGUGGAUGUCUGAGGAGAAAGGUGAGGUGGCUGCGCCUUGGUAAGUGAUAUUUAAAGGCUGGUGUGGUUGAAUAAAUAAUGCACCCAGUUGUGGUUUCUUUGAUAUUUUUAUGUUUGUAAAAUAACAGAAGGAAAACACAACUUUGGGGUAAACCCGUGAUUCUGAAAAAGCCAAAAGAGAAUCACAAUCUAGAUUUUCCAAGAGGUGUUCUCCCUCCUCAGCUUUCAACAAAAUCCAAGAGAGUGCAAGGUCGGGAUAUAGAGGUUUUUUUGAAAACCAACCGCCUUUUAACUCAUCUACAUUUUUUUUCUGCGAGCCUUUGAAAAUGCUUUGUUUAUUUUCAUACUCAGAGUGUGCACGGCCAGAGAAUUCCUGAGUCUUCCUUGCACGGCUCGGCUCCAGCACUGUGAUGGGAGUCGAUGGCACGGCUCUCACAGCCCACAGUUAAGGGCACUCGCAGGGCUUAGUUAAGCCAUUGACAGCAACUCUUUGGGGUGUUGAGAUCUUCCUGUCCAUGUGGCCUCUUUUCCUAUGGAAUGCAUUUCUGACAUUAUAAUAUCAUGCUGCAGAAUCAAGUUUAAUUUCAAACUGUAUUAACCUAUUUACAAAACAUAUCAAGGGGACAUUUUUCAAGGGAAUAGUUCUCUUCUUUAUAUAGAUAGAGAAAUAAAAUACUUCUUUUAAUAUUGCAUUCUCCAGGCACUAGGACUAACUAUUUCCCUGGAAUUAAUAUCUAAAAGGGAGUCAUUGCAAAUUUUAUAUUGACAUGCAGAACGCAACAUUAUGGCUUUUUAGGGUGGAUAUGCACAAAAUACGUAUGUGCAUUCCAAACUAGCUAAUAGCUUUGCAACUGGUGAACAUAAAUUUUAAUAUCUAUACUUCCCAGCUUGUAGUGGUGUUGUCUGAAGUCUGGGAUGACUGAUGUUAAUCUCCAACUUGUUUGUAGCUUUCCAGAAAAUGAACUCAAAGUAGAAUAAAAUGUGGUGUAAUUCCCAUUCAUAUUUAAAUUUAUUAUAAAAAGUGCAAUGUGAGAUCUGUCCUAUGUGCUCCUGCUUAACCAAACUUUAAAAUGUAGCUGUAUUCUUGCAUUGCAAAAGGAGGAAUAUGCACAUAUGUUAGCUGUUAAAUGGGUUGCUGUUCUUAGGGCUUGCACUUAGAUGCCUCCCCUAUCAUAAAUUCAUCCUCCUGUGCCCUGAAGUUUGGAGCUUUCAAACAUUAAGCAAAACAAAGGAAAGGUGGAGGUGAUGGUGCCAUCUUGAUUUCUUUUUGGGGAGCAGCAUUUGGAGAAUGGUAUCUUAUUAAGACACAUAGGAGAAUUCUAGAAUUUCAUUUUUACUAUUUCAGUUAGACUGAAAUUACACAAGCCUUGUAGCUGAGAAUUUUAUAGGUAAUUCCUUUGAAGACAGAGGAUGAAAGCCUGACUUCUCCAAAGGAAAGAGGAAUUUCUACUGUUGAUCUUGAGCUGGCUCCGAGUUGCUUCCUUGGUCUGUCCGUGGAGUAAGUCGUUAUGCAGUAAGUGCAGUGCUGCCUGGUGUAUCCAAAUCCAUGGCUUUUGUUAGGCUAAGGCACGUUUCAUGGCAACAUAAUGAUUUGGAGCCAAAUUUCAGAGAUGCUGAACCCCCCUCCUUUCCCCCCGCCACUUGCAUUCAGGUCAGUGAAGCCGAGAGUCGAACCCUUCCAUACAAGCUGCGUAUCAGAUGGGAAUGAGGCAACGGCUUGGGACGUGCAGGAGUUUAUUGGGUGUCUCUCUUGUGCUGUAGUUUUAGCCAUGAGCGCUGGAUUUGUUUGAGAGCAAACAGAGACGCACUAAUUGAUGAGAGUGUUAUGCAAAUAAAAAAGAGAAAUGGGAUGGGUAAAAUAAAGGAACUGUAAAACACUUUAUUAUGCCUGGAAAGCCAAGCUAAUCCCAGAGGAAUUCUGCUAGGAUAAAAUGUUAGCUGCUUGGACAUUUUAAGCCUUUGAGAGUUGUCUUGGAAUUUUCUUUUUCAUUUACUUUUGUUACUUUCUUAGAUCAGUCUACAGAAACGCGGCUUACAUUUUUCUCCCUCCCUCCUUUGCUUCCCCCCUUGGCUGGAGGUAACUCAGCCCACGCUUGGCUUGCAGGGGAAAUGAAAUGGUUAAGCAAGUUGAACCUCAGGUGCUUUGUUCUUGCGCUGGAUGCCUGCUGCUGGGAGGCAGGCAGGAACUCCUCACGGACCGCAGGGCUCCUGCUGAGAGCGGAGACUUUGCUUACCCUACAAGACCACAAAACGAGCGGCUGCUGGAGUAACCUGAGUGCACUGCAGAGCCUGAAGUGGGGCAGAAAGUGGGUCCAUUAGCUCAACUCCUUUUUAGACCUUUUCUCUUGCUGUUUCUCCCACCUUUCAUGGACUUUCUCCUUCUUUCACCUCAGAUGGGUAGGCAGGCAGGCUGCUUUAAUGAAAGCAAUACUGUGUCAAGAGGGAUUGCUGGCAGAACCCUUCCCAGCCAGUCUGACCUAGCACCUCAGCAAUGUUCUUGGCUUUGGCCAGCAACAGCUUGAAAACCCAGGUCUGUUUCUGAAUCCAGAUGGUGGUGCGUUGCCAUAUGUCAACAACACAUGUCAUCCUGAUUAAAAUUUUAACCACAUCCAUUCUGCCAUCCCCAUAAACCAUCCUCGACCCACUGUGUGGCAAAGGCUCCUUCCACGCUGAUCCCGUUCCUCCAGCAGGAACGUGCUGUUGGCAUCAGUGCAGGCAAAGCCAUUGCUUCUGCAGUGGUAUCUGCCUUCCCAUCCAGCUCUGUGCCUGCAAGCUCCACCUGUGAGGGCGCGUUGUCCUUAUCAGCACUGCUGGAACAAGGUCUUUGCUUCAACUGACUCUGGAGUCAGGCUUUAAGUGUUGAAACAGAAAAGGGAAAAAAAAAUCCCCACCAACCCUAACUUAUUUAAUCACUUGUUAGGGCCUGUUGAGUUGUCUGUUAGGAAGUGGCCUGCCCAGCCUUGGAAAGAGAGAUAAUGUAUUCCUGUUGAAACACAACCUUGUCAGGUUGCCACUGAAAGGCGUUUUGAAGUUGCUGAUAUGUAGAAGACCAACCUGGGCUGUUCUGUAACUGGGGUGAAUGCAGCUCCCUUUACCUUGGUUUCUCAGAUCUGAGGUGCAGCCCAUUCCCUACAUCAUGAACAUGAAUCCCAGCACUUCCUGGAGCAGGGAAGCGUCCUUCAAGGGGUUUGCACAGAAAAGCUCUUGUGCUUUUUUUUCCCUUUGUUCUAAGAGACAGUAUCAGUGGGCAGCAGGGACAGGGCAUGCUAUGUGCUGCUAAAUUCAGACCUGGGAUCUCACUCCAAUCAGUCCUUUGGAAACUGGGAUAACUUGUGAUGUGGAAGUGGUUUCCCCAGCUGUGCCUCUCAGUUCUUUCAUAUCUCAGCUUUGUUUCUGCAACAGCUUCCCCUCUGCCUAUAGGUAAUGCUCACAAAACAUUUAUCCCUUUGGCUAAUUUCAUUCCAGUAUGACAGACAGAUAAAAGCUUUCAAAGACACCAAGUUUCUACUUUUGUUUGUUUGUUUGUUUAAAAUGGUGGCUGAGCAGGGAAGAGACACCCCCACCCAUAUUCUUCCAGGAGGAACGUCUGCAGGGUGAGCCUCACCUUUGUCUGUCCGGCACAUCCAUCGACAGACACAGAGCUUGGAAGCAGCCACACACAAGCUGCCUCUUGCUCUUCCAGAUGUGAGGGCCAGAGGUCGGGAAGGGAGGAAUUGCAGGGAAGGGGAAGAUGAAUCAUAAAGGAGUUGGGGGAGAAGCGCAGGAUGUUGUCCUGGAAGGAAUGAAGACAUGCGAUGCGAAUCCUCAGGAAACAAGGCUUUGUUUUCUCUGAUGGUUGUGGAACAGUUCAUCUUUCUGAGGAGAAGAGAGGUGACAGAGGAGAGGAAAGAAGCUGAAAUGUCUUCUGGCUAUUAAAUAUUUUGGUUUAUAUAUGUGUAUUUUCCCCCAACUCUCUGUAGUAUGGUGAAUCUUACAACCACUUUUUUGAGCUCUGUUCUGGUUAGGGCAUAGAAUUGUAGUAUUAAAAUGUCUGAUCCGGAGCUUGUGGAAAUUGGGAAAACUGGUGGUAGACAUCAGUUGCUGUAUCUGAACUUGUUUAUGGCCUGGGAGAGUUGUUUUAAAAACUAUGUUGCUCCAGUCCCCAAGGGGAAUGUGGGAUAUUCCCCUUCUAAACAUAGAUAGAGCUUGUGUGAGUAAUCUCCUAAAUCACUGCAAAUUAAUAGUGCAUUAUGAAUCUUGUAAGAAUUAACCUUCUCAUUUCAUUUGGAGGAAAAAAGAUGUUUUGGAAGCCAAGGAUGCUGAAGUGCUGACCUACUCUAAGGUUUGGGACCAUGUGCAGCAGUCACUUCCAAGCUUGGGUCUCUCCAUCACAGAAACAGAAGUGGCAUCCUUGCUCCAAAGAGGAGCCAAAGGCAGCACUUGGACUGGAGAUAGGAGUUUGGACAAGAGCUUGUAGGGAAUGAACCGUGCCCUACCUGCUAUUGCCAGUUUGUGUUUCUAGAGCAGGAACCUCCAAUGCUGUCUUCAUUUUCACAUUAUGAGUCAUAGAGAUAUAAAAUACAGAACUGACGAGCUAUCUGAAAGAAAAAACCCAAACAUAGAGAACUUCUCUAGUAUAUUGUGCACGACUGCCUGCACAAGGAAAGGGAUGUAUUUGGAUCUCAUUUUUCUGGGCAGUCACAUUUUUUCAAGACAAUGCCAAGAGUAUUCUUUCAGUUCUCUUUCAGUGACCGAGUGCCGGUGGGUAGAGUGCCAGUGGAGAAAGAUGCUAUUUAUGCAGCAGAGCUCGUUGCCGUUUUUUAUUUAGUAUAUAUUUGUACCAGCUAUUGAGUUAGAUUCCUGGCUAGCGUAACACAACACAGCUCCGUUGGCUCCUGUGAUUUCCAUAGUUCAGAGUCUGGCAUAUGUUUUCCUUUCAAUGUAUAUUGACUGCCCGGCCUGUUAAAACUCUCCUGCUAAACCUACGCUGUUGUGUAAUACACUGUUGACUUUUUGCAGGGCUGCUAUGAAUAGCGCCGGAGGAAAUGAAGUAGCUGUGAGGAUGACUUUUCUUACACUAUAUAAAGUCUGCUCUAGGUUGAUACAAAAUGUAAAUGGCAAAGUUAGAUGUGGAGCCUACGUCUAGUGGAGAAAUCAUAGAAAUGUUUGGGUUGGAAGAGACCUUAAAGCCCAUCUUGUUCCACCCCCCUGCUUUAGGCAGGGACACCUUUCACUAGACCAGGUUGCUUCAAGCCCCGUCCAACCUGGCCUUGGACACUUCCAGGGAUGGGGCAGCCACAUCUUCUCUGGGCAACCUGUGCCAGGGCCUCACCACCCUCUGAGAAAUCAGCUUUGAUGAAGUCCAGCCUCAGUUUUGCCUCUGACCUGCUCAGGGAUUUGGGGACCUGCCUGUGUUUCAGUUUCCUCUUCCAUGAAAUGGCAUUAAUGUGUGAGGAUUAAUUAGUCAGUGGAUGGCAAACCCUGGAUUUUGUAAAUGCUGGUGUAACUGCUUCAAAAACUUCCUUUUCUGGGUUAAAAGGAAACAAGCCUAAGGAUUAUCAAAGUCUUAAGCAAUAUUGUUGGAUAUUUUUUCAGUGACGCAAAUACAGAUCUCAUUUUUAAAAAGAUCAGAAUGGACGUUGAUGGUAAAUAAAAUCGCCAGCCAAUAACUUGCAGCGAUUAAAACAAAUUUGAUUAAGCAUUAACUGUAGAGAAACCUUCUCAGAGACAAGUCAAGACUGUAACCCUUGGCUUAUGGCUCUCAGUCUGAGUUUCAAAUAUAUGCAUGUAUUCACCAUCCACCGAAUACAUGCUGCUGGGGUGGAUCCCUUUGGGGCACAGGGUUUGGGUGCUCUGCAGUCACAGUGAGGAAAGAUGGGAUCUUAUUCCUUGUGUCCCAGACCAGGACACUUAGAUAUAUGCUGGGAUUGUUCAGCCUGGAGAAAAGGAGGCUCAAGGGGGAUCUUCUUGCUCUACAACUCCCUGAAAGGAGGGUGGAGCCAGGGGAAGGUCAGGCUCUGCUCCCAGGGAACAAGUGACAGGACAAGAGGAAACUGCCCCAGGUCAUGGCAGGGGAGGUUUAGAUUGGAAAUUAGAGGAAAUUUCUUCACAUAAAGAGUUGUUGGGCAUUAGAACAGGCUGCCAAGGGCAGUAGUGGAGUCACCAACCUUGGAAGGAUUUAAAAUGUGUAAUGUAGCACCUGGGGACAUGGGUUAGUGGUGGCCUUGGCAAUAUUUGGUUAAUGGUUGAACUCAGUGAUCUUAGAGGGCUUUUCCAACCUUAGCUUGAAGGAAAAGCCAUCCCACUCUCCAGCCUCAUUUGUUGCAUGUAUAGAGCAAUAAGUGAAAAACCACGGUAUUUGUACCCCCUGUUUGCACUGGACUGUUGCAUUUGUAGCCCUGAUAUCGAGCUUUGGGAGCCCACCCCUGAAAUUCCUGCCUUUUUGCAGGCUUUGGGCUCAUUUCUUCUUGUUUUCUCAAUAAUUAUAUUUGUGGUUUCAUUCUUACCAGACUGUUUUCUUUAAUUUAUUGAGAUUUAUCCUCCAGGUUUGAAAGGGAAAUCCUUUGGUUUUGUCAGUUAGGUGUUUAGUCACAACAAGUCACAUGUGAGUGUUUUUCAUCAGUGGAGAGAGGCGGAUGCAGCUGGAGAAGGCAACUCCAAUGUGUUGGGGAGAGAAAGGCUGCUGGGCUGCUCUCUCUGCACUAGUGUCCUGGGAAAGCUCGGGGAAUUCACUUUGAUGUAGAUAGAGCUGGGUCAGGGACAUCAGCAAAGGCUGUAGAGGAGUCAGAACUGUUGUACUUAUCAUACCUGCAGUUUAUGAAAUGAAGGAGUUAAGUUUCCCAACCUGACACAAGGGUAGCACCCUGUUAUUUGCUUAACAAAGAUUUUUGUGUCUGCGUCUCUCUAACCCAGUGUGUUUUAAAUUCACUGCAAAUAAUUCUUUCAGCUGUUUCCUAGACAUCCUGUCACGCAAAUGGAUAAAACAAUAUAGCCAGCUCAGUGGAAAAAACAAUAAAUUAUACAAUAAAAACGUAUACAGUGUACUCUUUGUGUUAGGGCCUGACUUGGCCUGUGUUACUCCAGGUUUACACCAUCAAAACUUGACUUCCAUGGUCAAAUAGUGGAAGGAGACAGUGGCACAUCAGGCUGGUAGCACUGGGAUUAUGCCAAAGUUUUAAAAAUUAUUAGGAAGAAAAUAGCCGUGAAAUCCUGCAUAUGAAGUUCAUUACUUUCUGGUAAUGGUGACUUUGGUAGGAUUAACAUUUAGGAAAAUAUUUCUUCUUAGAACAUUUUCAUAUGCAUAUUUAAAAACUGGAAAUCCACUGUUUGCACAGGAAUGCCAUUAGCAUCAUAAAUCAAACUGCACUGUUAAAGAAUGUACUAAAAAAAAUGAGGAAUUAAGAGAAAUGGUCUAUUUUUUAAUCAAUAAGCCAGGGUAAAAUAUAUAUAUUUAAUAUAAAUUACUACUUCUGGAAGCUGUAAACAGCACGUACCUCCAUACUAGCGAUGGAUUUGGAUGCUCUCAUUUUCUCUCCGGAGGUACUUGCCUCUCUCCCCUGGUUGCAUUUGAUAUUGAGACUCCUAAAAGCAGGCACCAGGCCAGGCACCCAAUGGAGCUCCAAGAAGAUGAUAAUUAAGUAAGAUCAAAUCCUGACAAUUUUUUACGGAGAGCGAAACUCAAAUGUACAAAUUACCUGGGAAUGCUGGAAGUUGAUGGUUUCCCCAUGGGACAAGGCUCAUGGAGCAGGGAGGUGAACAUGGGGACUGUAUCAGGUUAACAUCUGGCAGAUCGUGAUUUACAGAACCCAAGAACGGGGCACGCAACACGGUGCUUUCAAAGAUCUUUGUCCCUGUUCCAGUUUAAUUUCCUCCCAGCCCCUCAUAUACAGACGGAGCCCCUUUCCCAUCUGAUCUCUAUAUAAAGAAAGGUGAAUGAUGUGUGUGAGGAAGCCGAGGAGGAUGCCGCAGGGCCAGCCCAGCAGCCCUAAGUAGGUGUUGCAGCGUGCCCCUGAGGCAUUUCUCCAGGCUGUUCCAGGGACCUUCUGGGAGCUGGUGGGAGAAGUGACUUUCCAGGCUGAGCUGGGACUCAGUCUGUGCAGAAACAACCCACAAGAUACUGGGCUGUGCUAAUUACGGAGGUGAAUAUGGGUUGUGCAAACUCUCCAACAGGCUCAGGUCUCCAAAUAUCCAAAUUUGUUCCAUAGGAACCAUGGAGCAGCCACUGAGCAUUCGGUGUCAAUCUGCUUGUGUUUAAGCUCGAGGAGUGGGGGAUUGGUGGCCAGGCGCCAGACCUGGGCUGCCAGAAGAGCUCAGAAGUUUCCUGAUCCCGCUCCCCACCUCCCAUCUCUGAAGGGAGCUGCCGCCUCUUUCCCAUGACAGCUUUGUCACCCGUCCAAAACGCAGGCAUUUGUCAGGAUGUUCUCUCCUUUCCUGUGAUGGAAGAGACUCUGUUUCUGCCUUGUGGCGGGGAAGAACUUGGGCUUUUGUGGUCUUCCCAUGCAUAGACUCAUUAUUUUAGGGAAUAGGCAGCAGCACCACCGUGCUCAGGACCAGAGUGGCAGAUUCCCGGAUGGAAUCAGACCCUUCCACACAUACGCAUGUGCAAGGCCAUUUCUGCAGGAGUGCCUUCUAUUCCCAGCCAGUUGGCUCCCCAAGAACCGAUGCAUUUGCAAAUAUCCACUUAAUCACUUUUUGCCCCAACACAGGACAAUGUUCAGUGUGUUCUCAAAGGCAGCAUUUAAUCCCCAACCCCCGAGUGCACUUUUACUCCACUCCACAC